ACGUGAAACCUUGUGGGAAGCAGGGAGGACCACCUCCCAAGGCUAAAUACUACCUGAUGACCGAUAGUGAAGCAGUACCGUGAGGGAAAGGUGAAAAGAACCCCGGGAGGGGAGUGAAAUAGAACCUGAAACCGUGUGCCUACAACCGCUCAGAGCCCCUUAUGAGGGUGAUGAGGUGCUUUUUGUAGAACGAGCCAACGAGUUACGGUAUGUAGCAAGGUUAAGUACUUAAGGUACGGAGCCGAAGGGAAACCGAGUCUGAAUAGGGCGACUAGUUGCAUGCCGUAGACCCGAAACCGGGUGACCUAUCCAUGGCCAGGUUGAAGCGAGGGUAAAACCUCGUGGAGGACCGAACCACGUUGCUGUUGAAAAAGCAUGGGAUGAGCUGUGGAUAGCGGAGAAAUUCCAAUCGAACCCGGAGAUAGCUGGUUCUCUCCGAAAUAGCUUUAGGGCUAGCGUCGAGUAUGAGUAGUGGAGGUAGAGCACUGAAUGGGCUAGGGGGCAUAGCGCUUACCGAACCUUAUCAAACUCCGAAUGCCACAUACUUUGAGCUCGGCAGUCAGACUACGAAUGAUAAGAUCCGUGGUCAAAAGGGAAACAGCCCAGAUCGUCAGCUAAGGUCCCAAAGUGUAAGUUAAGUGGGAAAGGAUGUGAGAUUUCUAAGACAACUAGGAUGUUGGCUUAGAAGCAGCCAUUCAUUAAAAGAGUGCGUAAUAGCUCACUAGUCGAGAGAUCUUGCGCCGAAAAUGUAACGGGGCUAAACUUACCACCGAAGCUACGGGCUUGAACUUAGUUCAAGCGGUAGGAGAGCGUCGUAACCGGGCUGAAGUCGUACCGUAAGGAGCGGUGGACUGGUUACGAGUGAGAAUGUUGGCAUCAGUAGCGAGAUGUGGGUGAGAAUCCCACAGGCCGAAAACCUAAGGUUUCCUCAGGAAGGUUCGUCCGCUGAGGGUUAGUCGGGACCUAAGCCGAGGCCGAAAGGCGUAGGUGAUGGACAACUGGUUGAUAUUCCAGUACCACUACCAUCGUUAUUAUCGAUGGCGUGACGCAGGAGGAUAGUGUGUGCUAGCUAUUGGAUGCUAGUCUAAGCGUUUAGGCAGUGAGAGUAGGCAAAUCCGCUCUCAUAAUGCUGAGGCGUGAUGGGGAAGGUUCUACGGAACCGAAGUACAUGAUUCCACGCUGCCAAGAAAAGCGUCUAGAGAGAGAAGUAGUGCCCGUACCGCAAACCGACACAGGUAGGUGAGGAGAGAAUCCUAAGGCCGGCGGAAGAAUUACAGUUAAGGAACUCGGCAAAUUGACCCCGUAAGUUCGCGAGAAGGGGUGCCUACGAGAGUAGGCCGCAGAGAAUAGGCCCAAGCAACUGUUUAGCAAAAACACAGGUCUCUGCUAAAGCGUAAGCUGAUGUAUAGGGGCUGACGCCUGCCCGGUGCUGGAAGGUUAAGGGGAACACUUAGCGCAAGCGAAGGUGUGAACUUAAGCCCCAGUAAACGGCGGCCGUAACUAUAACGGUCCUAAGGUAGCGAAAUUCCUUGUCAGGUAAGUUCUGACCCGCACGAAUGGCGUAAUGACUUGGGCACUGUCUCAACUGUAAAUCCGGCGAAGUUGUAGUGCGAGUGAAGAUGCUCGCUACCCGCGAUUGGACGGAAAGACCCCGUAGAGCUUUACUGUAGCUUAGCAUUGAGUUUUGGUAUUGUCUGUACAGGAUAGGUGGGAGACUAGGAAACCAGGGCGUCAGCCUUGGUGGAGUCAACCUUGGGAUACCACCCUGACAGUACUGAAAUUCUAACUGGCGGCCAUGAAUCUGGUCACAGGACAUUGUUAGGUGGGCAGUUUGACUGGGGCGGUCGCCUCCUAAAAAGUAACGGAGGCGCCCAAAGGUUCCCUCAGAACGGUCGGAAAUCGUUCGAAGAGUGCAAAGGCAGAAGGGAGCCUGACUGCGACACCCACAAGUGGAGCAGGGACGAAAGUCGGGCUUAGUGAUCCGGUGGUACCUCGUGGGAGGGCCAUCGCUCAACGGAUAAAAGCUACCUCGGGGAUAACAGGCUGAUCUCCCCCAAGAGUCCACAUCGACGGGGAGGUUUGGCACCUCGAUGUCGGCUCGUCGCAUCCUGGGGCUGAAGUAGGUCCCAAGGGUUGGGCUGUUCGCCCAUUAAAGCGGCACGCGAGCUGGGUUCAGAACGUCGUGAGACAGUUCGGUCCCUAUCCGUCGCGGGCGUAGGAAAUUUGAGAGGAGCUGUCCUUAGUACGAGAGGACCGGGAUGGACUGACCUCUGGUGUACCAGUUGUUCCGCCAGGAGCACAGCUGGGUAGCUAAGUCGGGAAUGGAUAAACGCUGAAAGCAUCUAAGCGUGAAGCCAACCU
This 2361-nucleotide ribosomal RNA is filed under the name Clostridium perfringens. Its description in RNAcentral is "partial 23S ribosomal RNA". It matches the Rfam family "Bacterial large subunit ribosomal RNA", at positions 424 to 2799 of the family's 2925-position model. Lineage: Bacteria; Bacillati; Bacillota; Clostridia; Eubacteriales; Clostridiaceae. The record is from RNAcentral.